RNAcentral lists this ribosomal RNA (492 nucleotides) under uncultured bacterium. RNAcentral's name for it is "partial 16S ribosomal RNA". It matches the Rfam family "Bacterial small subunit ribosomal RNA", at positions 30 to 507 of the family's 1533-position model. The record is from RNAcentral.
AUUGAACGCUGGCGGUAGGCCUAACACAUGCAAGUCGAACGGCAGCACAGUAAGAGCUUGCUCUGACGGGUGGCGAGUGGCGGACGGGUGAGGAAUACAUCGGAAUCUACUUUUUCGUGGGGGAUAACGUAGGGAAACUUACGCUAAUACCGCAUACGACCUACGGGUGAAAGCAGGGGAUCUUCGGACCUUGCGCGAUUGAAUGAGCCGAUGUCGGAUUAGCUAGUUGGCGGGGUAAAGGCCCACCAAGGCGACGAUCCGUAGCUGGUCUGAGAGGAUGAUCAGCCACACUGGAACUGAGACACGGUCCAGACUCCUACGGGAGGCAGCAGUGGGGAAUAUUGGACAAUGGGCGCAAGCCUGAUCCAGCCAUACCGCGUGGGUGAAGAAGGCCUUCGGGUUGUAAAGCCCUUUUGUUGGGAAAGAAAAGCAGCAGGUUAAUACCCCGCUGUUCUGACGGUACCCAAAGAAUAAGCACCGGCUAACUUCGUG